RNAcentral lists this ribosomal RNA (500 nucleotides) under uncultured bacterium. RNAcentral describes it as "partial 16S ribosomal RNA". It matches the Rfam family "Bacterial small subunit ribosomal RNA", at positions 30 to 523 of the family's 1533-position model. The record is from RNAcentral.
AUUGAACGCUGGCGGAAUGCUUUACACAUGCAAGUCGAACGGCAGCACGGACCUCGGUCUGGUGGCGAGUGGCGAACGGGUGAGUAAUGUAUCGGAACGUGCCCAGUCGUGGGGGAUAACGCAGUGAAAAUUACGCUAAUACCGCAUACGAUCUAUGGAUGAAAGCGGGGGAUCGCAAGACCUCGCGCGAUUGGAGCGGCCGAUAUCAGAUUAGGUAGUUGGUGGGGUAAAGGCCCACCAAGCCAACGAUCUGUAGCUGGUCUGAGAGGACGACCAGCCACACUGGAACUGAGACACGGUCCAGACUACUACGGGAGGCAGCAGUGGGGAAUUUUGGACAAUGGGCGAAAGCCUGAUCCAGCCAUUCCGCGUGCAGGAUGAAGGCCCUCGGGUUGUAAACUGCUUUUGUACAGAACGAAAAGGUUUCUACUAAUACUAGGAGCUCAUGACAGUACUGUAAGAAUAAGCACCGGCUAACUACGUGCCAGCAGCCGCAGUAA